GCUUACGGCCACACACCGGCCUGAGUACGCCCGAUCUCGCCUGAUCUCGGAAGCUAAGCAGGGUCGGGCCUGGUUAGUACUUGGAUGGGAGACCGCCUGGGAAUACCAGGUGCUGUAAGCU
Ribosomal RNA from Oncorhynchus mykiss (rainbow trout), 121 nucleotides. NCBI's taxonomy places the organism in Eukaryota, Metazoa, Chordata, Actinopteri, Salmoniformes, Salmonidae. The record is from Ensembl.